UCUGGUAUAUCACCUGGAGGUAGGUCUUUCUACUUCAUAUAUCCAUUAUAUAUUAUAAAUAAAAUCAUAUAUAUUGUAAGAUAAAUGAAGUAACUAAUCUAUUGAUUAUAAUUAUUAUAUAUGGUUAAAGGUCGACAUCCAGUGAUAUAUUAUAAUCAUCCUCACAACCAUUCCAAAAGAUGGAACGACAUGGACCAAGGCACUGACGUCAUUUGCCAUCUUACCACGCGAAGUGAACCACCCUUCAUCACCAACCCAUCCACUUCUUUGGAUCAACCCACAUUCGUGUGUUACGACUUUGGAGUAUUUGUACAUUGAUAGAGAGAACUUGAUGCCAGACACUGAUGUCUAGAAGAAUCUCCGAGGUUUUUUGCCACACACAUGCCAUACUCGUUUUUGCCCAAGUCGAUCAUUGAGUCUGGGGGCUAAGAUCAUCAACGUAAGCCUUGAGAGGAAAAGCACUUUCGUUUCCAAUUUUCACAUUCACGGUUCGACGCACCUAAAUAUUUCCGUAGUGUUGGCACUGUUAAUAUAUAGGAAGAAAUGAAAUUCAAAAUUUUUAAUUUAUGUUUUUUUUAAGGAUUUACCCUUGAUUUAAUGGAGCCCUUCCAGAAAUUAUAUCAUAUCUAUGGGUAAGCGAUAGCCUUGUUUCAAAGGACUAAGGAAGUCCU
Molecule: long non-coding RNA, 671 nt
Filed under: Zostera marina
Lineage: Eukaryota; Viridiplantae; Streptophyta; Magnoliopsida; Alismatales; Zosteraceae
Description: long non-coding RNA (ZMAR_LNC003934)
Source: RNAcentral